GAAUUUUCCUCAAAGCUUCAUUGUCUAAACUCUGAACCUCAUCAUAACCUCAGUUCUGCCUAGCUCCAUAACUAGUAGGUUUCACAAUUUGAUGUCCUCUUGCUGUGCUGACCCACUUGGAACUGGCCAUUCAGCAAGAUCCUAGAAUCUGGGGAUCAGAGACUACAACCCGGAAGGGACCAGGCUCAGAGCCCUGUGGGGUACUAGGCAGGAGGCUCUGACAUUCUGCCACCAACACACAGGAAGCAAACAGGUUUUUUUCUACUGGUGUUGGUGUACUUUGUGCUCAGAGAAUAGAAUAUCCCAGGGGAGUGUCAAACCAUGAGAAAAGGAAAGGUUACCAAGCAACGGCUUCAGGCAAAUCACCUCAGAUCUGCUCUCCAUUCCCCCAGGGUUGUGGGGGUCCGAAGCACAAGCAGAUGUCUGGAGGGAGCUAUUACUCACAUCCUCCCCUUCUUAAUUUCCCCUUCUUAAUUUCGCUCGGUGGCAGUAGCAGCAGUCACAGACCAAUCUCUAUCACUUCAGGAAAGAAGGGGGCAGAAACAGAUGCGUAGAGCAGCUUCUGAAGAUCAGCAGGCCUGUGCAGCAUCAUCUGAGGGUCCCCAGAAUUAAAGCAACAUGAAACCCUUCAUACUGAGUGUGGCCACUUCCCACUGACCAUGACUCACAAAUGGUUUCCAAUUUUAGAAGCUGCCCUGUCCUCAUAAAAGAAUUACCAGGAAGGUAGGAGGUUUGUUUGUUUGCUUUUCUGUGCAUCUAAGUACCCUGACAAUCUAAUCUCUGGAGAGUCUCAGUAACCAGGCAACACAAGUCAUGCUCCAAUUGUGCGGUCCUCAAUCCACUUUUCCUGUGCUAUUCCAGUUCAAAGUAAGAAUACCAAAGCCAGAACUGCAGAAGAUAAAUGUGGAUCUUUAUUACUACAAGCAGAUAACGGGGUCUGCCCCCUCUUCUUAUUGCUGAGUAGAAAUUCUGAGGCAAGUGCUUUUAAAAAGACUAGAACAGCACAUUUUACCUAAGAAUAAGAUUAUAGCUAGUAACCUGUUUUUCUUACAAAAAAAGAAAAUGGAAGGAGAUAGCUUUUGUCUGGUGACAGUUUAUUUUAACCCAGAUGCUUCCUCCACUUGUAAUUUGGCCUCAUUUGUGUUUUCAGAAACAUCACCAAUUCAGACGGGUUUCUUGGGUAAGGACUUAAUGGACAAGGUUAAACACAGCUGUUCUGGUGCCUGAAAUCCUUAAGAGUCUAGCAGGACCGGAGCAAGUAAAAUAAACUCAGAAAGAGCUGUCUGGAUCAGUGUUUCUAGAGACAAAAUGAGUAUAAAUGAGCAUGGAGUCAACAGGCCUCCUGGGUCAAGGUCAGAGGCAACCUGGGGACACGGAUUAACAGCGGAAGAACACUGCCUAUAGUACAUUUGCUAUGAGACAGCACAGAAUUGGACAUUCUGGCCUUUAAUCAUCAGGCUAUCACAAGGAAAAGUGGUCCAGAUUUAGUACUGUGUCAGCACUUUUUAUAAUAAAUGCUUCAUUUACUAGGAAUUUAGCUAUCGAGUUGCAGAUGAUAAAAAUGACACUCAAAUGCAAGGUCAAACAGCAAACAUUUAUAAUUCCUGUCUAUUAGCUAAAUACACAGUCCUAAUUAUCCAGGUGAAAGGGGUAAUUGUUUUCCCAAACAGUGCCUCAAUCUCCAGUGAUUUACAAAGCACUUUUACACACAUCAUCUCGUCACAGUGGUGUGUAUGCCCUUGUUACACAGAUGGAUUGAACUGGAAAUUGUUUCAUUUGCCAGUUUUAAGUAUCUUCCUUUUCCCUGUGGGUGGUUUCUGUAAGGCCUGAUGGACAUAUUAUCAUCUGGAUCUUCCAGGCAAUGACACCUCUAAAGAGGCCGAUGAACUAGAACUAUCAGUUCUAACACCUUAGGCAAGAAUCCCUCAAUCUCUCUGGGUUUCAGCUUCUUCAUGUGUAUACUGUAGAUAUGUUGUCAAAAUUGUGCUAAUCUUCACCAACUAAUAAGAAAUGAUAAGAAUGAGAUUUUGUGGAUAUGGGACUUUAAUAUACAGUGAGAGGAAUAUAAAUCAGCAUGACUUUUUGCUGGUGUUAUGUAAUAAAAUGUAAAACGUACAUACCAUUUCAUGCAGAAAAUUUAUAUCCAAGAAUCUAUCCCAAUGAGGUAGUUACAUAAAUAUGCAAGUAUACACAAGAUGUUCAUCACAAUUAGAAACAACCAAAAUGUCCACCAACAUGAGACUAGUUCAAAAAGAUACGAGGUAUUCAUACAAGAGACUUUAUGCAUCCACUGAAAAGAAUCAUGUAAUUCAUAUUGGUUGACUCAAAUAGAAGCUCCAUCACAUAUUUUCAAGACAAAAGGAAUUACAAAGCAGUAUGGUUGAUAUAAUCCCAUUUAUGUGCAAAUCAAAUAAAUUCCAGAUUUCACUGUGGUUCAAUUCAGCCCAGUGUCACAUUCACAGAAACAACCCAGCAACAAAAAGGCAUUACAGAGUAAUUUCAGCCUUGGCUCUCCAUUUUCAGAAAACAUUAAAGAACCUACAAUUCCUAACCCACAGCACCACAUCUUAAAAUAGUCUCUGUAUCCCACCUUUUUCAUCUUGUUCUCUAAUUCUCACACUGUAAUAGCUCCUGAAGGCUUUCUCCUCCCCAAUAUGCUUUUCUACUCUCAACCAAAGACAUCACAAUGAUACUCAAACAGAUCAGCCACUUCUCUUUUGUCCCUCUUCCUUCUUCCUUUGUUUUUUUUCUUCACUGAUUACCAUACUCCGAAAAAUAAGGUGGAGAAAGAAGAAAAUGCUAAGUGGACAAAAUUUCCUUUCCAGAGAGUAGGAGAAAAAGAGAUUGACUAUGCAUAUACUACAAUGUCUUAACCUUGUAGCAAGCGCAAAAUUAUUUAAGUGAUAUCUACUGCAUAUAUGCCUAGAAGUGUCUGCAAGGAUGUUGACAAAAUUCUUAAGAAUAAUUAUCUCAGUUGGGAUUUCCCUGUGAACUUUGCUUUUAAUUUUAUAUCUCUCCUUAUACCUCUUUGAGUAACUCAUGAUGAACAUGUUUUGUUUGUGAUCAAAACCACGAAAUAAACUCAUGUCAACAUGUAAAAAAAGAGGUUGUAAUGAUGCUCACAAGAAACAAUAGACAUGAAAAAAUACACAAUUUAAGUACAAAGUAUAAGCAUUUUAAAUAAAUACGAUUGGACUGUCUCUUCCAGUUUCCAACAUUAAUAAGCUCCAUUAUUUUGGAAUUAUUUUAAUUACUCCUACAUGUUAGAGUUGGUUAAUU
This 3279-nucleotide long non-coding RNA is filed under the name Homo sapiens (human). RNAcentral describes it as "HSALNT0372948". Lineage: Eukaryota; Metazoa; Chordata; Mammalia; Primates; Hominidae. The record is from RNAcentral.